GACGAACGCUGGCGGCGUGCUUAACACAUGCAAGUCGAGCGGUAAGGCCCUUUCGGGGGUACGACGAGCGGCGAACGGGUGAGUAACACGUGGGUGACCUGCCCUCAGCUCUGGGAUAAGCCUGGGAAACCGGGUCUAAUACCGGAUAUGACUCCAUGACGCAUGUUGUGGGGUGGAAAGCCUUGUGCGGCUGAGGAUGGGCCCGCGGCCUAUCAGCUUGUUGGUGGGGGNGA
This 233-nucleotide ribosomal RNA is filed under the name uncultured bacterium. Its description in RNAcentral is "partial 16S ribosomal RNA". It matches the Rfam family "Bacterial small subunit ribosomal RNA", at positions 28 to 261 of the family's 1533-position model. The record is from RNAcentral.